This 119-nucleotide ribosomal RNA is filed under the name Triticum aestivum (bread wheat). Lineage: Eukaryota; Viridiplantae; Streptophyta; Magnoliopsida; Poales; Poaceae. The record is from RNAcentral. RNAcentral also lists the same sequence under 1 other name.
GGAUGCGAUCAUACCAGCACUAAAGCACCGGAUCCCAUCAGAACUCCGAAGUUAAGCGUGCUUGUGCGAGAGUAGUACUAGGAUGGGUGACCUCCUGGGAAGUCCUCGUGUUGCAUUCC